ACGGGAGGCAGCAGUGGGGAAUAUUGCACAAUGGGGGAAACCCUGAUGCAGCGACGCCGCGUGAGCGAAGAAGUAUUUCGGUAUGUAAAGCUCUAUCAGCAGGGAAGAAAAUGACGGUACCUGACUAAGAAGCACCGGCUAAAUACGUGCCAGCAGCCGCGGUAAUACGUAUGGUGCAAGCGUUAUCCGGAUUUACUGGGUGUAAAGGGAGCGUAGACGGCUGUGUAAGUCUGAAGUGAAAGCCCGGGGCUCAACCCCGGGACUGCUUUGGAAACUAUGCAGCUAGAGUGUCGGAGAGGUAAGUGGAAUUCCCAGUGUAGCGGUGAAAUGCGUAGAUAUUGGGAGGAACACCAGUGGCGAAGGCGGCUUACUGGACGAUGACUGACGUUGAGGCUCGAAAGCGUGGGGAGCAAACAGGAUUAGAUACCCUGGUA
RNAcentral lists this ribosomal RNA (434 nucleotides) under uncultured Lachnospiraceae bacterium. Its description in RNAcentral is "bacterial SSU rRNA". It matches the Rfam family "Bacterial small subunit ribosomal RNA", at positions 341 to 792 of the family's 1533-position model. Lineage: Bacteria; Bacillati; Bacillota; Clostridia; Lachnospirales; Lachnospiraceae. The record is from RNAcentral.